Long non-coding RNA from Sphaeramia orbicularis (orbiculate cardinalfish), 651 nucleotides. RefSeq lists it as uncharacterized. Lineage: Eukaryota; Metazoa; Chordata; Actinopteri; Kurtiformes; Apogonidae. The transcript has 3 exons. The record is from RefSeq and is a predicted model, not a curated record.
AAUGAAGAGUUCCACAGGGUUGUGGCCCUCCCUCUCAAGUCCAAGUUUUUUGAACAACUUGACCACUACUCCAGCAGACUGUUGGCAUUGGCAAGAUCCAAGAGAGGAACUGCAGGGGACAAAAUCUCUCCCAUCCUACACACGUUUGAUCGGGCCAAAGACAUCAAUCUGAAGAGAGAAUGUCUCCUAAAGGCCCUUAUCAUUGUUCUUGGGGAGGAUACUCGUGAUCUUGUCAAGGAGUUUGUGGACAGUCGGGAAGACGACCUUCAGGUUGAUUUGGAGCAGGUGACCAUGGCGGUAUUUUCCAUUCGACAAGAAGGAUGUGUCGAACUUCCUCCGGAGGACAUUGGUAUCGUUAUCGAAGGCGUAACAGUCUUAAAUGGACUCAGCUCUGUCCCAUCUGCUUGUGCCCUGCUGCUCGGCUUGAUCUACAUUCUCAAUCUUGCCUACCCUAAAAGCCUCCGUUACACUUUCGAGGUUUUCCAGAAAGUUUUUAUGGAGCUAGAUUCUCAGAAAAUGUCCCCAAAAGUUCAUACACUAUUAGGAAAACUGCAAAGUGCAGAUUAAUGGUCAUCUUAAGCCUAUGUACAUAUUUUUGCAUUCAGUGUUAAAAAUGUUUUAUAAAGUUGACAGUGUUUAAAAAGUUUGAGA